This 445-nucleotide ribosomal RNA is filed under the name uncultured bacterium. RNAcentral describes it as "partial 16S ribosomal RNA". It matches the Rfam family "Bacterial small subunit ribosomal RNA", at positions 354 to 796 of the family's 1533-position model. The record is from RNAcentral.
GUGAGGAAUAUUGCACAAUGGAGGCAACUCUGACGCAGCCAUGCCGCGUGCAGGAAGAAGGCGCUACGCGUUGUAAACUGCUUUUAACCGGGAAGAAACCCCAGGACGUGUCCUGGGUUGACGGUACCGGAGGAAUAAGCACCGGCUAACUUCGUGCCAGCAGCCGCGGUAAUACGAAGGGUGCAAGCGUUAUCCGGAUUCAUUGGGUUUAAAGGGUGCGUAGGCGGAGCGUUAAGUCAGUGGUGAAAUCCUGCAGCUUAACUGUAGACUUGCCAUUGAUACUGGCGCUCUUGAGUGCGCUUGAAGUGGGCGGAAUGUGCCGUGUAGCGGUGAAAUGCUUAGAUAUGGCACAGAACACCAAUUGCGAAGGCAGCUCACUAAGGCGAUACUGACGCUGAGGCACGAAAGCGUGGGGAUCGAACAGGAUUAGAAACCCGAGUAGUCC